Molecule: long non-coding RNA, 192 nt
Filed under: Panthera pardus (leopard)
Lineage: Eukaryota; Metazoa; Chordata; Mammalia; Carnivora; Felidae
Description: Rhabdomyosarcoma 2 associated transcript conserved region 9 (ENSPPRG00000016451.1)
Rfam family: Rhabdomyosarcoma 2 associated transcript conserved region 9
Source: RNAcentral
GUGCCUUAGACAAAGGACGCACGGGAGUCCCACCACACCUAGAGCCACGCUUUGAAGGAUCUGCCAAGCUCACUUUUAAUCAUGAGAAAGAAAUUACCCACAUGGAGUCAGCAGAAAAUGAGAAAGUAGAGCUCGUGCUGCGAAUAAUUCCAGCAAGUGCCAAGGGGCUAGUUGAGGAAUGGCUUCAUGAAG